CCUACGGGUGGCACCAGUGAGGAAUUUUGCGCAAUGGGGGUAACCCUGACGCAGCAACGCCGCGUGAGUGAAGAAGGCUUUCGGGUCGUAAAGCUCUGUCGAGUGGGAAGAACCCGCAGCAGGUCAACAGGCUGCUGCGCUGACGGUACCACUUGAGGAAGCACCGGCUAACUCCGUGCCAGCAGCCGCGGUAAUACGGAGGGUGCAAGCGUUAUUCGGAAUUACUGGGCGUAAAGGGCGCGCAGGCGGCCAGAUAAGUCAGUAGUGAAAGCCCGGGGCUCAACCUCGGAAGUGCUGCUGAAACUGUUUGGCUUGAGUAUGGUAGAGGGAAGCGGAAUUCCUGGUGUAGCGGUGAAAUGCGUAGAUAUCAGGAGGAACACCGGUGGCGAAGGCGGCUUCCUGGCCCAAUACUGACGCUGAGGCGCGAAGGCGUGGGUAGCAAACAGGAUUAGAUACCCUUGUAGUC
RNAcentral lists this ribosomal RNA (466 nucleotides) under uncultured bacterium. RNAcentral's name for it is "bacterial SSU rRNA". It matches the Rfam family "Bacterial small subunit ribosomal RNA", at positions 338 to 795 of the family's 1533-position model. The record is from RNAcentral.